RNAcentral lists this unclassified non-coding RNA (182 nucleotides) under uncultured fungus. RNAcentral's name for it is "partial contains 18S rRNA, ITS1, 5.8S rRNA, ITS2 and 28S rRNA". Lineage: Eukaryota; Fungi. The record is from RNAcentral.
AAGGAUCAUUACAGAAAGUAAACGCGGAUCAAACCGCGAACUUUUAAACCUUUGACGAUUGACUCAUGUUGCCUCGGCGGGUUCUCCCGCCGGAGGAUACAUUAAAACUCCUGUUUUUAACGGUGUUGUCUGAGCUACAAGCAACGAAUCAAAACUUUCAACAACGGAUCUCUUGGUUCUGG